GGGGAUUUAGCUCAGCGGCAUAAGCUGAGCGCCUGCCUUGCAAGCAGGCAGUCAUGAGUUUGAUCCCCA
Molecule: transfer RNA, 69 nt
Filed under: Cavia porcellus (domestic guinea pig)
Lineage: Eukaryota; Metazoa; Chordata; Mammalia; Rodentia; Caviidae
Rfam family: tRNA
About the family: Transfer RNA (tRNA) molecules are approximately 80 nucleotides in length. Their secondary structure includes four short double-helical elements and three loops (D, anti-codon, and T loops). Further hydrogen bonds mediate the characteristic L-shaped molecular structure. tRNAs have two regions of fundamental functional importance: the anti-codon, which is responsible for specific mRNA codon recognition, and the 3' end, to which the tRNAs corresponding amino acid is attached (by aminoacyl-tRNA synthetases). tRNAs cope with the degeneracy of the genetic code in two manners: having more than one tRNA (with a specific anti-codon) for a particular amino acid; and 'wobble' base-pairing, i.e. permitting non-standard base-pairing at the 3rd anti-codon position.
Source: Rfam by way of RNAcentral